Molecule: ribosomal RNA, 484 nt
Filed under: uncultured bacterium
Lineage: Bacteria
Description: bacterial SSU rRNA
Rfam family: Bacterial small subunit ribosomal RNA
Source: RNAcentral
AUUGAACGCUGGCGGGAUGCCUUACACAUGCAAGUCGAACGGCAGCACGGACUUCGGGUCUGGUGGCGAGUGGCGAACGGGUGAGUAAUGUAUCGGAACGUGCCUAGUAGCGGGGGAUAACUACUCGAAAGAGUAGCUAAUACCGCAUACGCCCUACGGGGAAAGGGGGGGAUCGCAAGACCUCUCACUAUUAGAGCGGCCGAUAUCGGAUUAGCUAGUUGGUGAGGUAAAGGCUCACCAAGGCGACGAUCCGUAGCUGGUUUGAGAGGACGACCAGCCACACUGGGACUGAGACACGGCCCAGACUCCUACGGGAGGCAGCAGUGGGGAAUUUUGGACAAUGGGGGAAACCCUGAUCCAGCCAUUCCGCGUGUGCGAUGAAGGCCUUCGGGUUGUAAAGCACUUUUGGCAGGAAAGAAAUCGCACGGGUUAAUAACCCGUGUGGAUGACGGUACCUGCAGAAUAAGCACCGGCUAACUACGUG